Molecule: small RNA, 355 nt
Filed under: Histoplasma capsulatum
Lineage: Eukaryota; Fungi; Ascomycota; Eurotiomycetes; Onygenales; Ajellomycetaceae
Also listed under: 1 other name
Description: hypothetical RNA
Source: RNAcentral
UCAAGAAUUACUCGUGCCCAUCCAUCCCAUGAAUACUAUGAUGCCAGCCGUUUACUCCUUUUAUCAUCUGUUUGGGGGGAAACACCUCCAUCCAGUCCACUCAAUAUUUGCAGAAAACCUCCACAGUUUGGAUCGUCUCAGCGCGCCAACAGUAACAUACCAGAACGGUUCCUUGGCGAGGUCUAGAGCUAGUUAGUUAAUGUAACUGGUGGAAAUAGGAGACAUAGCCCGGGGACGUAUUCAGAGUCGACUACGGGAGUCAGCGGGAGGUUAACAGAUUACCCAGUAAUACAGGAACUCACGCCAUACUACAAAAUAGAACUGUCGUAAGUACCGUAGAAUUCUCGAUGCAGCA